GACGAACGCUGGCGGCGUGCCUAAUACAUGCAAGUUGAGCGCUGAAGGUUGGUACUUGUACCGACUGGAUGAGCAGCGGACGGGUGAGUAACGCGUGGGGAAUCUGCCUUUUAGCGGGGGACAACAUUUGGAAACGAAUGCUAAUACCGCAUAAAAACUUUAAACACAAGAUUUAAGUUUGAAAGAUGCAAUUGCAUCACUCAAGGAUGAUCCCGCGUUGUAUUAGCUAGUUGGGGAGGUAAAGGCUCACCAAGGCGGUGAUACAUAGUCGACCUGAAAGGGAGGAUGGCCAAAUUGGGAACUGGACACGGCCCAAAACCCUACCGGGGGGAGCAGGAGGGAAAUAUUGGAAAAGGAGGGAAGGCUGAACGAGGAACGACGGGUGAGGGAAGAAGGGUUUCGGAUCGGAAAACUCCGUUGGUAGAGAAGAAAGUUGGUGAGGGUGGAAAGCUCAUCAAGUGACGGUAACUACACAGAAAGGGACGGCUAACUACGUG
RNAcentral lists this ribosomal RNA (497 nucleotides) under uncultured bacterium. RNAcentral describes it as "partial 16S ribosomal RNA". It matches the Rfam family "Bacterial small subunit ribosomal RNA", at positions 28 to 507 of the family's 1533-position model. The record is from RNAcentral.